Molecule: long non-coding RNA, 2203 nt
Organism: Oreochromis aureus
Lineage: Eukaryota; Metazoa; Chordata; Actinopteri; Cichliformes; Cichlidae
Source: Ensembl
AGGCGGACCGCCGCCUCCUUCACUGGGAGGUCCGGGUAUGUGUGGGAUGAGUCAUGAAGUUAUUACACCGUCAGUUUCAUUGUCCUGGGCAGCAAUGUUUGUUGGAAGUACUUAUGUGUUUUUUUAAUGUAUUUUUUUCAGGACCAGUUGGCUCGUGGCCUGAUUCCUGUAAGUAUUUCUCCAGGUUUUUUUAAAUUUAUAUAUAUUUAUAAAAAAGAAAGCUGACACUUGCAAGACUUUAUCAAAGGUGUAAACAUCACAGCAGAUGUCUUUGUGUCAACUGGGGAUAAAACACAAAAACAUGAAGGAGAUUUUCCUGCCCUGGUUUUUUUUUUUUUUAAACAAACAACCUUAAAAAUAUUCUGCAGUAGAACAAAAACUGGAGAAAACCAUGAAUCAACAAGCGAACAUUACCUGAUGCUGCUGAAUUGAAGCAGAGCAAAGUACAGCUAAGCAGUAUGCAAUUUUGCAUCAUUUUAAAAAGUUUGCUCAGCAUUGAACAGUAAUAACGUCCCACAGUGCUGUAAACAAUGUUAGACUGGUGGGUAAUAAGCAAGAGAAUAAUGCAGAAAACAGAUUUUUAGAUGGGAAACUCUUCCUCAGAGAGAGAGCUCUGCAUGAAGUGUGAUUUUAUCGUGGUGGAAGAAAAACAGCCACAGUAAGAGGGAAUAAAUGACGAUGUUUAUGUGAAGCGAAAUAUUGGGGUCUACUUUAUAUUCCAGCUCUAAAGUCAAUGUCGUCUUCACUCAUGAAGAUUUUUACUGUCCUGGGGACAGGAGAGAGGAGUCUCAUCAGAGGAGCUAUAAUUUUAUAGCUUGCAAAAGUAGAAACAAAUAAGUGUUCAUUUGAAUUCUUGUCUUAGUGAUUGAAAAUGGUCUCACUUUCUGCCCUUCACUGUUUGUAUCUAAGGCUAAAAAACUACCUUAUCUAAAUUAAAAGUGAUUCUAAAUAUUACAUAUUUAGUUGUGUGUGUGCAUGCACAUAUUUUAUGUAUACAGAUUUCUUUUCAACUAUUACUCAUGAUAUAACAGUGUGCAGACAGGCCCUUUGAGGACAUGAGGAGGAAACGGUGAUAAAAGGUGUGUGAGGCUGCUACAGGCUGUGGAUCCCUCACCAGCUGGAAUAAAAAGAGCACAGCUAACAAUAACACGUGUACCAGUUGUUCCUGUUCUGUGCUUUUUCCUUCACCCCGAGUACCAACAGGGCCAUAAGGCGUGUCAGCCGCACAGGGCUUCAGAUUCCCAGCAGUGAGUGAGGAAAUAGGAGGAGGCUACAAAGCUCAGAGUAACUUGGGUUAGAGAACCUGGAGCUGGUGGAGUCAUAGCUGCCUUUGUUCAACACCAUCUUCUCAUCUGGCUUGCAGGCCAUAACAGCAUCCACAGGCGAGGUUAAUUCUACAGUGAUCAUUUCCACUGAGUUCAAGAAGGAGUGAAAGUAUUCACUGGGGAACCCGCUCUGCAAGAGAGAAGUCACAGAACAGAAGAAGGGCUUAGAAAGAUUGGAAAUAUACAAGAUAUUCAACCUGCACUUUAAUGGAAUCAGUUAAAUAGGUGAGCAUCAGGUGUUUGGGGUGCUUCACUCAUACUUGACUGAAUUUGAAUUGCUUGGAUCAUGAAGGUCAUAAGUCUGUGACUGGAUCAGUGAGUCACUUUGUCUGUCUGGUUACACCUCCCACAGAGUUCACAUCUACCUGCAAUACUCUGUCUUUUUAUGGUACAUGUUGUGUUGCUCAACUUUUUGCACUGAGCUUAUUUUUGCUUUUAGACUCCUUAAACUCUCUGUAGCUUCCUGCUACUUUACAGAGUUUUUUUUCAAAUGAAUAUUUUUAGACAUGAACAUUAGAGCUUGAUGCAGUCUACCUCUGUGGUUAUACGGUGAGCCUUGUUCCCAGCAGGCAACAGGUUAACAGAAAAUAUUGUGAAGUGACUGUUGUUGUUAAAUGGUGCUGCAUUAAUAAAACUGUACUGAACUGAAAUAAAAUCGUUGUAUAAUAAACUUCCCCAUGAACUUCUCCAGCAUCUGAUUUUAACACUGUGAUGAAGCACUCUACUCUUAACCCUAACCCAGCGCUCCAGCCCCUACCGGUCCAUGAGUCACUUGAAUUUUACAGUGUUUAUUUAUCAGAAAAAACAAGUUAAAUUAAAUAGCUGUCCAGUACCUGUGCAACAGAUGGUAGUGAUGGUUCAACAGAAACAUCCUAUAC